GAAAUGCGAUAAGUAAUGUGAAUUGCAGAAUUCAGUGAAUCAUCGAAUCUUUGAACGCACAUUGCGCCCGCCAGUAUUCUGGCGGGCAUGCCUGUCCGAGCGUCAUUACAACCAUCAAGCCCCCGGGCUUGUGUUGGGGACCUGCGGCUGCCCGCAGGCCCUGAAAACCAGUGGCGGGCUCGCUGUCACACCGAGCGUAGUAGCAAUCACCUCGCUCAGGGCGUGCUGCGGGUUCCGGCCGUUAAACAGCCUUACAAAACCCAAGGUUGACCUCGGAUCAGGUAGGAAGACCCGCUGAACUUAAGC
Molecule: unclassified non-coding RNA, 306 nt
Filed under: plant metagenome
Description: partial contains 5.8S ribosomal RNA, internal transcribed spacer 2, and large subunit ribosomal RNA
Rfam family: 5.8S ribosomal RNA (bases 1-105)
Source: RNAcentral